Molecule: long non-coding RNA, 715 nt
Organism: Anolis carolinensis (green anole)
Lineage: Eukaryota; Metazoa; Chordata; Lepidosauria; Squamata; Anolidae
Exons: 2
Source: RefSeq, a predicted model, not a curated record
GUACCAGAACCUUCUAUUUUACUUUCUUGCUGCAAAUGUUUGCAGCCAUAGGACAGGCCACCUGUCAAUCACCAUUAAGUUUGGUUCCGCCCCCUGUUCAGGGCUCUGGGAGGGAAGGAGCCAUUUUUAAGUUAGUCUCUCUUGGGAAGUUCAGCUGUAGGACAUAGACCAGCUCGUCCCGUAAAAGGCUUCUUAUUUCAAGACCACCGGGGAUAAAGAGCACCAAGGUUAAAGAACCCCAGGGAUAUUGACUGUCCAGGGAUACAGAACAACAGCACAGAAACAUCUGCAAGCCAUUGGCUGAAUUACAUGGGCUUGAACUUGAGAACGUCUGGGCGCAUAUUGUGGAACAUGUGCUCUGCCACUGAAUCACAGCCCUUCCCUGAGUCUUCCUUGGUGAUAUGACACAUUUCUGCAAGUGAUGACGGAUGCUGGAUAUGAAUCAUACAGCUAAAGUGUUAUGAAUAUUUUACCCUUGGGAUCAAGGGAUGGUCUGUCUUUACUUUUUCAAAUUCUUCUCCCUUUGCAGGGAAAGGGUAACAUGGAAGUUGGGCUACUAUCAGUACAGGACAUUUACUGUAUGUAGAAGAAGCAGUUUUACGUAUUGUUCACACUUGUCUCACAGUGUGGCACAACUCCUUAUUCCCAAGCUUCUCUCCACUGUUCACACCCAGGUACCAAAAUGUUUGAAAUUAAAGGAUAUGCAGACUCUGUG